Molecule: long non-coding RNA, 6308 nt
Organism: Equus asinus (donkey)
Lineage: Eukaryota; Metazoa; Chordata; Mammalia; Perissodactyla; Equidae
Source: Ensembl
CUCAUUCAGUACGUUGUGUGCGAGGCGAAGACGACCGGCCGAAGUGGGUUGAGCCGGGGGCGAGGGACUAAGCAUGGAGCACACAGCAGCGCCAAGUCCUGAGGCCCGCUGGAAGAGUCACAGAGGGUAGCUGAAAGAACGUUCGCGGGCUCCGGUAGGACAGUCCCGUCCCGUUGCUGUGUAGGCAGGUGAGGAGCAGAGAGGAGAGGCAAGGAAAUGGGGCCCUGGAGGCAGGAGGUGAGGGGAGCAGCGUGCAAGACGUGGGAGAGUAGGGUCGAGGAGAGGCGGUCCAGCCGGCCGGAAGCGGGAGAGGGGCAGGCCGUGGCGCCUGACCGCUGGGGACAGGAGAGGCUUGCACAGAGGACCAGGGACGUGCCGGGCCACGAGGGCCGGCGGAGGGCCCGAAGGAAGGGCUGGACGUGGAGAAUCAAGGAAGUGUGUUCCCGUGAGUGGACCAGGGCCCCGAGGAAGCGCACCCGGGAGCAGAGCACAGCGUGGGCGAGGAAUCAAGGAACGCAGGAGAGGCGGGAGGGAGGAGAACGGAGGAGGAUGAGGCGGUGGUGGUAGUGGCCUGGAAGGUGCUGGAGACAGCCCUGUCAGUGUGGGGCACGGGGAGACGGGAAAGGUCAGAGAGACGCCCAGAGGAGGAGUGACCGUCUCAAAAACGGUGGCAGCUAAAACGGUAGGGGCCUUGGGAGCGAACCGGGAGAGCAGAUGGAUUCGGCACAGCACGUUGGCGAUGAGGAGGGCAAGGCGGGGAGCAUGAGGGCAGGGCAUCCAGGGCACAAGUUGCUGGGAGAAGACGGUGGCUGCCUCACGGGCCCGACAGCUACGAGGGCGAGUAGGACGGUGGCUGAAGAGGACGCGAGGGUCUCUCAGAGACGACAGUGGGAGAAAAAGAGGAGGAUGGGCCAAGAAGGGUUGAAAUCCGCACAGCAGGGACGUGCGCAGAGGGCGAUAGUGGAGUCUCGGGCAGCCGUGAGCAGGUGGUCUGCGGGCUGUGGGUGGGGGGUCAGGAUAGCCGAUGGGAAGAGACAGGGGCAGGCGGGACUGAAGAGGGGAGGGAACCUCGUGAACGUGCGGGGGACUCCGGGUGGGAAAAGGGGAAGCCAGCCUGAAGAGCGUGCGGUGUUGGGACAUGGGCCGAUGUCUGGGCAAGGGGCUUGGCAGGGGAGGAAUGGAGGCCACGUGGCAGGAGCAGGGCGGGAGCGCGGAGGCAGGACUCACGGCCCGGGGGGUGUGAAGAGCCGGACCCCUGGGGAACAGGUGCGGAAAGGGGAUACAGUGGCUGUAGUGACACAGAGGAAACGGGGCAGGCUGGCAGUUACGAGGCACCCCGCUCAGGAAGCACGUCAGGGCCUUCGGGAUGGACUCACGAGCAUGGAGUCCAGCGUGUGGAUGGCAGGCACGCUUAGAAAUGGCAGAGGAGCAGGUAGGAAGCAAGGCGGAGGUGAGAGUUCGCAAAGAUCGCCAAAUGCCUGCUUCUGCUAUUUCAGGGGACCCGGAGAGGAAUGGAGGUAGUCUAGCACGGGGCGGGAGGAGCCCGCAGAGGCAAGCACGGAUAGACGGGGACCUUCAAACCAGCGUGGGGUCACAGGUCGUGUCGCAGAAGAUGACGUUGUCAGCCAAGGGGCGCGGAGGGAGAGAGCGAGAGCGAGGGGUGGGACAGUGGGGGCUGGGAGGUGGGGGCUCUUGCCCUGCGGGCUGGAGCCAAGGGACAACAGAGAGAGGGCAAGGCAGAAAGGGCUGGAGACCGAGAGGAGCGUCUCAAAGUCUGCAUGUGGGUGUUGUGAGGGGACCGUGCCCAAGAGGGCAAGAGGGCAGAGCGGGGUGGAUCCCGACCUGGCCCACUGGGAGCAGGAGAGCAAGGGCGAUGGGCAGGGGCGCAGCAUGGGUCCCGAAGAAGGAGAGAAGGAAGGCGUGGGGGCAAAGGAAGGAAGCGGAGGAGGACUGAGCGGCGGGACCGCGUAGAGGCCAGUAGACAGUGGCUUGAUGAAAGGGAAGAAGACGGAAGAGGCAGGAAGGUGAGACGGGCCAAGGCUAGGGAAGAGGGAGCCUCCAGGGAAGGCGGUGGCGGGGAGCCAGCGGAAGGACGAGACGAGAGACAGCAGAUGGCUUCUGGAGAGUGAACGCGGCCCGCUGAGGGGAUGGAAAGAGCGUGAGCAGUGAGGGCCCUACACGGGAGGGAGCACAGCCCCAAGGAGAAGAGAUGACUGAAUACAACUCAAUGCCAGGCGUUAGGGAGCUCUGAGAGGAGAGGCGUGAGCCGUAGGGGAGAGGCUGGGCACUCUGCUGGGCCGACUAGGGGAAGGGCAGCCAUGCGUCCCGUCCCGUCCCGUCCCGUCCCGACCCGAGAGGUCGCAAGGGAGAAGCUUGAACGUGAGAGGCUACUGCAGCGGGAGCGUCACCUCCCCGAGACAGACAGGCUUCGGAGGGCCCCGCAGGAGAGGAUGGAGAGUGGAGUGGGUGGAAGGAAGACAGGCUGGACGCCAACAGGAGGGUUUUGCGAAAAUGAGAGGCAGGUGGCAGAUGUGGAUGUCCACAUCCAGAGAGGUGGCGGAGCUCUAGGUACGAAGGGAACCAUCUUCUUUAACGGAGCUUGAGGAGUCGUUACCCACGCAGGGCUGGGGGUGAGGAAGACGAGAGAAUGGCCCCCGAGAGGACCAAGGAGAGUAGCUGCAGGAAAGACGCAAGGGGAAGGUCUGGUUGGCAGGAAACGAGGAGAGACGAGAGGACCAGAGGGCCGGUGCUCUGCAGGGGGACCGUGUCGCGGGUCUGACCUGAGGAGGGGCAACCUAGGGAGAGGGCCAGCGGCAAGGGCCGGGAAGGGGCAGAUUGGGACCAAGGAAAGAUACUGUCACAGUGCCUGAGAGUCCUAGAGGCUCGGGGGCUAGAGCGGUGUUGAUGGGGGGGGCGGGGCGGGGCGUGACAAGAAGAGAGCUCUACCGGAGACUGGGGUUCGGGCGUGUCGGGUGUCGGUGAGCGUUCAGGCGAGGGCCUGCGCUGGUGCCAAGAGGACAGCGCCGGGCUGAUGGCAGCGUGGGGGCAAUGCUGGGGUCUUUGAGGCACAAGCAAGCGCCAGUGGCAACCGACGGAAGGCUAGAGGCGCCCACGGGGAGAGUGCAGCCCAGGGAGGCAGGUGGGGCUUCCACAACAGUGAUUCUUCUCGGGGGUGGGGGGGGUGGAUUUCACCCGAGGCGGGGGGGGGCUGCGGGCAUGGACCCCAAGGGAGGCCUAUCAGAACAUCUGAGGGGGAGCAGUGCUCUGCUCGAAGAAAAACAAAACCAAAAGCAAAGGAAAAAGAAAACACAAAAACACGCCCGAAAGAUGCUGCUGAUAGGCUGCCUUGGGGGCCAUGCGUCCUCGGGUGAGAAUCACUGGGUGGAAGGGGCAGAGAGUGGAGAGCUGGGCAGAGAGGUGGAGCACGAGCCUGAGCACAUGGGCCCCUGAGUCGGGGUGGACGGAGGCCUCAGAGUCAGGAACGUCAGCCGUGGGUGCGGGUCGAGGACCCAGGACGAGGCAGACAGCGAGCAAAUGGAUGUAGCCGACUAGGCCCCUGGAAGGAUGGGGGUGGUUGGGAUUCACUGGCGGUGGGUAGGGAGCGCAGGGCCAAGGUGACGGUGCCGGAAGCGAGGACGCAUGCGACAGGAGGGUGAGAGAGACGGGAGUGCUGGCCGAAAGGAAGCUGGCUUGUGGGGAUGUGAGCAGAGCGCACCGGGUGGGAGGUCCACAGGAAAGGAAGGGGCAGGCGGUAGGGGAGACAGCAGACAGCAACUAAGGGGGACAUGUGGGAGAGCGAAGCCUGCUAGGGAGGGAGGAAGGAAGGAGGCAAGGACGGACGGACGACGGCAGAACCCAGGGCACUGUGCAGCUGGAGACUGAGCGCAGUGGUGUGAGGUUGGGGUUCACAGGCGUGAGGGCAGAGGGAGGGCAGAAAGAAGGCAGGAGCGCUGCGGAGAAGGGAAAACGGAGAGUCACGGGAAGGGGCUCCCCGAGAGGUGUGCCAGAAGAGUGUGCAACCAGGGGUCUGAAGGGAAAGGUGAAAGGUUACAGGCGGGGCCGUUCGCGCGGGUCCAGGAGGACAGCCCAGCCUGGGUCCGCAGAGACGUGCGCACGGCUUGGUGGGUGGAGCGUGCUCAUUCAGUACGUUGUGUGCGAGGCGAAGACGACCGGCCGAAGUGGGUUGAGCCGGGGGCGAGGGACUAAGCAUGGAGCACACAGCAGCGCCAAGUCCUGAGGCCCGCUGGAAGAGUCACAGAGGGUAGCUGAAAGAACGUUCGCGGGCUCCGGUAGGACAGUCCCGUCCCGUUGCUGUGUAGGCAGGUGAGGAGCAGAGAGGAGAGGCAAGGAAAUGGGGCCCUGGAGGCAGGAGGUGAGGAGCAGAGAGGAGAGGCAAGGAAAUGGGGCCCUGGAGGCAGGAGGUGAGGGGAGCAGCGUGCAAGACGCGGGAGAGUAGGGUCGAGGAGAGGCGGUCCAGCCGGCCGGAAGCGGGAGAGGGGCAGGCCGUGGCGCCUGACCGCUGGGGACAGGAGAGGCUUGCACAGAGGACCAGGGACGUGCCGGGCCACGAGGGCCGGCCAUGACCACGAAGGAGGGAGUGGAGGUGCAGAAUGUGGUUUGUGUAGAAUCUCGGUACUUUGUUACCCCUGAGUGGACUAAGGUUUCAGGAAUUCAUCCAGGAGCAAAAGCUCAGCAUUGUUAUGGCCAUUGAGGAAGCCAUGUGAGGUGGGAAGAGAACCCAGCAGUUGGGGUGGAGAGGUAGUGGUCCAUUUGAAAUCUUACGGUCAAGUCAUUGAAGGGCAUGGUGAGAUGGUGAAUGUCAGACUGUAGGUUGUGUAUGCAACCACUGUCUCCCACUGAUAAAAGUAAAGGGUUUAGAGGUGAAUUGGUACAGCAGGUGUUUUCAGAACAGUAGGUAGGGACAAAAAUGCUCGGAAUGAGGAGAGCAUGACGUCUCGUCACAAAGGGAGUAGAUGUCAAGGAAUAGACAGGGAAUUUGUCGCAUCACAGGCAGGUAGUACAGGAAGUAGGAUGGGAUAUUGAAGAUGACGCUGAGAGUCUCUCAAAGACAACAGUUGGAGAAAUGCAGAGCAUGGGCUAAGCAGGAUUCAUUCAGCACCCAGUGCGGAAAGAGAGAGAAAGUGCAAGUCAGCCAUGAGAAGUUGGUCCAUGUGAUGUGAGUUGGGUUACGUUAGUAGAAGGGAAAAGAAUGCGCAGCAUGGAAGGGGGGGAGAGAACUUUAAGAACAUGCAAGGGACUCAGGGUUGGUAAAGGGGGCACCAUGGAAGAGGGGAAAGCAGCCUAAAAAGCUCCCAGUGUGGGGAUGUCAGCAGCUGUCAGAGGACAAGAGGAUCGGCAUGUGCAGUGUAGAGGCCAGAUGGUAGGAGCAGAGCAUAGCGGAACUGAGACCCCAUAGUCCAGGCAGGUGAAUACCUGGGGCUCUCAGAACAAGUGUGGAAAGGCACCACAAUGACUGUGGUGAUAAAGAGGAAAUGGGACAUCAUGGCACGUUAAGGCGUAGCCUGUACAGAAACCACUGGCAGGUAACCUUAGGGAAUUCAGAAUGUGGAUGGAGUCCAGUGUGUGGGUGGCAGAUACAGUUAGAAAUGGCAGAGGAGUGAAUCAAGGUGGGAAGUGACAUUUUGCAGUGAUCACCAAAUCCAUGCUUCUGCUAUUGCAAGUGGCUGGAAAGGGUGGAGGUCUAGCAAGCAGGGGACAGAGACUCCAGACAGAGAAGUAAGGUAGGAGGGGUGACCUUCAAACCAAUGCGGUGUCAUACAUCUAGUCCAAGAAGAUAAUUUGGGCAGCAAAGUGGCACAGAGGGAGAGAGCAAGGUGUGGGAUGGUGGGGCUUCGGGGGUGGGGCUGUUGUUUAGGAGGCUUGAUCCAUGGAAAACAGGGCAAGGCAGAAUGAAAUGAACUCGAGAGGAAAGAUCGAGGGAAGGAUUGUCAAAAUUGGACCUCGAAGCAGCUGGAAGGGAGAGUCCCUCCUAGAGAGACAAGGUAAAGAGAACUAUGCAGGGGAGGUUGGAGGGUGGAUUGUGUGGUGGAGGGAGACAAGCUGGACACCAACAGGGGGAGUGAGGUGAAGAGGAAGUCGGCAGAGUCUGCAUCCAGACAGAUAUCAGAGAUGCCAACAAGAUGGAAGUUAAGAACAUCAGGGGCCAGCCAAGGGGAGCAGAGGCAUAGAGAAGGAGGAGCAGAGAAGGGGUGGCUAGCAGUGCGAGGGGAGCAGUGGCUGCUCUUGCAGCCUUUGAAUGUUGUGGCAAGAGUAGAACUUUUUUGGCCAGGCUCUUUACUACGGAUCCG